ACCCCUUGCCCAACUCGCGUUAGCACAUUUGAGAAGGAAGUAGAGGUGUUCGUAUAAAACCCGACUGAAAAUGUUAUCACUCUGACGAUGGGUACUACUUUUGACUCGCUGGGUGAAGCACAAAAUCUCUACAACUUGUAUUCUUUGGAGAAGGGGCUUGGGAUUAUGUAUGGUAUAAAAGCCAACUCAAUGUUGAGAGCACGAAGUGUAUUCAAGAAAUUGUCUGCAAAUGCUCGGUAA
Molecule: ribosomal RNA, 240 nt
Filed under: Triticum aestivum (bread wheat)
Lineage: Eukaryota; Viridiplantae; Streptophyta; Magnoliopsida; Poales; Poaceae
Description: partial small subunit ribosomal RNA
Source: RNAcentral